Molecule: ribosomal RNA, 441 nt
Filed under: uncultured bacterium
Lineage: Bacteria
Description: partial 16S ribosomal RNA
Rfam family: Bacterial small subunit ribosomal RNA
Source: RNAcentral
CCUACGGGUGGCAGCAGUGGGGGAUAUUGCACAAUGGGGGGAACCCUGAUGCAGCGACGCCGCGUGGGUGAAGGAGUGCUUCGGCAUGUAAAGCCCUAUCGGCAGGGAAGAAGCAAGACGGUACCUGACUAAGAAGCCCCGGCUAACUACGUGCCAGCAGCCGCGGUAAUACGUAGGGGCCGAGCGUUAUCCGGAUUCACUGGGUGUAAAGGGAGCGUAGACGGCCAUGCAGGCCAGGGGUGAAAGCCCGGGGCCCAACCCCGGGACUGCCCUUGGAACUGUGCGGCUAGAGUGCGGGAGGGGCAGGCGGAAUUCCUGGUGUAGCGGUGAAAUGCGUAGAUAUCAGGAGGAACACCGGCGGCGAAGGCGGCCUGCUGGACUGCGACUGACGUUGAGGCUCGAAAGCGUGGGGAGCGAACAGGAUUAGAUACCCCGGUAGUC